Molecule: ribosomal RNA, 190 nt
Filed under: Brevibacillus brevis
Lineage: Bacteria; Bacillati; Bacillota; Bacilli; Caryophanales; Paenibacillaceae
Description: partial 23S ribosomal RNA
Rfam family: Bacterial large subunit ribosomal RNA
Source: RNAcentral
AGCUGGGUAGCUAUGUGCGGACGGGAUAAGCGCUGAAAGCAUCUAAGCGUGAAGCCCCCUCCAAGAUGAGACUUCCCACAGCGCAAGCUGGUAAGACCCCUCAUAGACGAUGAGGUUGAUAGGUUCGGUGUGGAAGCGCGGUAACGCGUGGAGCUGACGAAUACUAAUCGGUCGAGGACUUAUCCACACA